CCAGGUGGCUAGUUCCCUCUGAAAUUCCCCUCAGGAUAGUUGGAAUAUGUAAUGAAGCUGUUAUAUUCGGUAAAGCGAAUGAUUAGAGGAGUUGUGGGAUGAAAACGUUUUCAACUAAUCUCAAACUGUCAGUGAGUGCAACUAAUCUCAAACUGUCAGUGAGUGCAACUAAUCUCAAACUGUCAGUGAGUGUGACGCCUUGCUUGCUUGAAUGAAGCGUAGACA
RNAcentral lists this non-coding RNA (225 nucleotides) under Onchocerca ochengi. Its description in RNAcentral is "Eukaryotic large subunit ribosomal RNA". It matches the Rfam family "Eukaryotic large subunit ribosomal RNA", at positions 943 to 1107 of the family's 3401-position model. The record is from Rfam by way of RNAcentral. Lineage: Eukaryota; Metazoa; Nematoda; Chromadorea; Rhabditida; Onchocercidae.